Molecule: ribosomal RNA, 254 nt
Filed under: uncultured bacterium
Lineage: Bacteria
Description: partial 16S ribosomal RNA
Rfam family: Bacterial small subunit ribosomal RNA
Source: RNAcentral
UACGUAGGGUGCAAGCGUUGUCCGGAAUUAUUGGGCGUAAAGAGCUCGUAGGCGGUGUGUCGCGUCGGCCGUGAAAACCUGCAGCUUAACUGUGGGCUUGCGGUCGAUACGGGCAUCACUGGAGUUCGGCAGGGGAGACUGGAAUUCCUGGUGUAGCGGUGAAAUGCGCAGAUAUCAGGAGGAACACCGGUGGCGAAGGCGGGUCUCUGGGCAACAACUGACGCUGAGGAGCGAAAGCGUGGGGAGCGAACAGG